UUGGUGCGACCAAAAUAGAAAUGUCUAAUAUUUAGAGUGAAUAACAGGAGUGUAAUAGGCCAUUUUUGGCCCGGACCAGAGACCCAAAAAGAAACAGAAAAUAAAAACCAAAAUAAACAAAAAUAAAAAUUCAAAAUCAACAGUCCAAAUGUCCAUUACAAGCCCAAUUUAUAAAAUGCAAAAAAAAAACCCUAGGCUCAAAUGGCCCAAAACCAAAAACAUUCUCAGUCAAAGACUAAAAACCUAACUGCUAGGUGCGCCGCUGCCCUCGCCACAGCCUCUACAUCGACUCCGUACACAGUUGGCCUAUGGCCUCCGUACCUGCAAACCAAAGAAAAUAGAACGCGACAGCAACAAAGAAACAAACAAAUUUUGUAAUCUGCCUAUAAAAGAAUCACUAGGCAUUUUGUUUUUUUUUUUACGCACAACAUAGAAAUCAAAAUACAAAAACAGCAUUCAGAACAAAGAUUCUUUUCUAAAAGGUGGUUUUUUAUUUUUUAUUUUUUCUUUUCAUUCCUUUUUUAUUUCGUUUAUUUUUAAAGAAAACAAAAAAAAUAAAAGAAGAGAAUCGAAACCUUACCGUUGUUCUCGCAUCGUGCCGCCGUAGGUGGCCGAGGUUUGUCGAUUUCGAUGAAAAUCGACUUCCAAUGGGUUCGAAGACUCAAAAAACAAAAAAAAAAAGAUUUUUUAUUUUAUUUUUUCAGCCACCACGGUGGUUCGGUGACCGGAGUAUGGUCGGCCAUGGGGGCAUUGGAAAGAGGAGUUGAGAGAGUUUUUCAAAAAAUUUUAUUUUGAAGGCUGAAAAUGAAUUUUU
This 814-nucleotide long non-coding RNA is filed under the name Gossypium barbadense (sea-island cotton). RNAcentral's name for it is "long non-coding RNA (GBAR_LNC004785)". The record is from RNAcentral. Lineage: Eukaryota; Viridiplantae; Streptophyta; Magnoliopsida; Malvales; Malvaceae.